GACGAGCGCUGGCGGCGUGCUUAACACAUGCAAGUCGAACGGUGAAGCGCCUUCCUUUUUGGUGGGUGUGGAUGAGUGGCGAACGGGUGAGUAACACGUGAGUAACCUGCCCCCUUCUUCUGGAUAACCGCAUGAAAGUGUGGCUAAUACGGGAUAUUCUGGGUCUGUCGCAUGAUGGGUCUGGGAAAGAUAUUGUUUCGGUGGGGGAUGGGCUCGCGGCCUAUCAGCUUGUUGGUGGGGUGAUGGCCUACCAAGGCGGUGACGGGUAGCCGGCCUGAGAGGGUGGACGGUCACACUGGGACUGAGACACGGCCCAGACUCCUACGGGAGGCAGCAGUGGGGAAUAUUGCACAAUGGGCGCAAGCCUGAUGCAGCGACGCCGCGUGAGGGAUGGAGGCCUUCGGGUUGUGAACCUCUUUCGCCAGUGAAGUAGGCCUGCCUCGUUUGUGGGUGGGUUGACGGUAGCUGGAUAAGAAGCGCCGGCUAACUACGUG
This 494-nucleotide ribosomal RNA is filed under the name uncultured bacterium. RNAcentral describes it as "partial 16S ribosomal RNA". It matches the Rfam family "Bacterial small subunit ribosomal RNA", at positions 28 to 507 of the family's 1533-position model. The record is from RNAcentral.